This 668-nucleotide long non-coding RNA is filed under the name Cavia porcellus (domestic guinea pig). RNAcentral's name for it is "lncRNA (ENSCPOG00000035090.1)". Lineage: Eukaryota; Metazoa; Chordata; Mammalia; Rodentia; Caviidae. The record is from RNAcentral.
AUGCACCGCGGCCCCCAUUCAUCAGGCAAGCUGACCAAUGCAAGUUCCGGGGUCCGAUUAUCCAGGGAAACACGGCCCCAGGAAGAGAAUAAAUCACCCGGGAAGCUCUGGGCCAACUGCAAACCAGGCAAAUCAGGCUCUCCACACCCUUGGGCUUGGAGCACAGAAGGCCACAGUCUGGUCAGGCCUGUCCCCUCCCCUCCCCUCCUCAGCCUUGGGCACCUGUCUGUCGCUCGGCCUCCUGUCCCCUCACCUGGUCACCCGCCCACACCAGAGCAACCCUUCGGCACAGAGUGGCCACAUCACCAUCUACAUGGCUGGAACAUUGUGCUCCCAGAACCAGAUCACAGCCCCAUCCAGGCCACUUCGAGUCCCCAUCCACUAAGGCGCUGGGACCCACAGGCCCCAUGGGGGACCCCCAAGCUCAGUUUCUGUUUUCAGGAGCAGGGUGGGAUGGGAACACAGAAGCACCAGAUUUAGAAUCUCGCUUGGUGAGCAGCUUAACCAAAUAACACUGGCUCUCAACCGGCCCCUUUUCCACAAAUAAAUGACAAGGAAACAGACUCAAAAUCCAGACCUAGUUGGCUUGGAAUUUUUGAGACAAGUUCUCAUUAUGUAGCCCAGGCUGGCCUGGAACUUGCAGUGAUUCUCCUGCCUCAGCCUCCCCA